RNAcentral lists this ribosomal RNA (253 nucleotides) under uncultured bacterium. RNAcentral describes it as "partial 16S ribosomal RNA". It matches the Rfam family "Bacterial small subunit ribosomal RNA", at positions 524 to 776 of the family's 1533-position model. The record is from RNAcentral.
UACGUAGGGGGCAAGCGUUGUCCGGAUUUAUUGGGCGUAAAGAGCGUGUAGGCGGCCAUGUAGGUCCGUUGUGAAAACUCGAGGCUCAACCUCGAGACGCCGAUGGAAACCAUGUGGCUAGAGUCCGGAAGAGGAGAGUGGAAUUCCUGGUGUAGCGGUGAAAUGCGCAGAUAUCAGGAAGAACACCGAUGGCGAAGGCAGGUCUCUGGGCAUUAACUGACGCUGAGGAGCGAAAGCAUGGGGAGCGAACAGG